Molecule: non-coding RNA, 95 nt
Organism: Mycena vulgaris
Lineage: Eukaryota; Fungi; Basidiomycota; Agaricomycetes; Agaricales; Mycenaceae
Source: the annotation of a GenBank genome assembly
GCGGGUGUGGUGUACGGAACACACCUGCCUUCAAUGUUCAUUCAUAUUCCCUCGAAUUGAAGCAGCAGACCCGGGUUCGGCUCCCGGCGCCCGCA